AUAUAAAGUUGUUGCGGUUAAAAAGCUCGUAGUUGGAUCUCAGUUCCGGAUCGACGGUUCGCCUCUGGUGAUUUACUGUCGGUCCGAACAGCUCGUCGGCUCGCUCGGGGUGCUCUUCACCGAGUGUCCCGCGUGGCCGGCACGUUUACUUUGAAAAAAUUAGAGUGCUCAGAGCAGGCUUACCGCCUGAAUAGUUGUGCAUGGAAUAAUGGAAUAGGACCUCGGUUCUAUUUUGUUGGUUUUCGGAACCCGAGGUAAUGAUAAAUAGAGACGGACGGGGGCAUUCGUAUUGCGACGCUAGAGGUGAAAUUCUUGGACCGUCGCAAGACGAACUACUGCGAAAGCAUUUGCCAAGAACGUUCUUAUUAAUCAAGAACGAAAGUUAGAGGUUCGAAGGCGAUCAGAUACCGCCCUAGUUCUAACCAUUAACGAUGCUGACUAGUAAUCCGUCUGUGUUAAUCCCAUGACUAGACGGGCAACUUCCGGGAAACCAAAGUCUUUGAGUUCCGGGGGAAGUAUGGUUGCAAAGCUGAAACUUAAAGGAAUUGACGGAAGGGCACCACCAGGAGUGGAGCCUGCGGCUUAAUUUGACUCAACACGGGGAACCUCACCAGGCCCGGACACCGGAAGGAUUGACAGAUUGAGAGCUCUUUCUUGAUUCGGUGGGUGGUGGUGCAUGGCCGUUCUUAGUUGGUGGAGCGAUUUGUCUGGUUAAUUCCGAUAACGAACGAGACUUUAGCCUACUAACUAGUCGGAGGGUCUAAUACAAGUGCCCUCCGCAGCUUCUUAGAGGGAUAAGCGGCAUCUA
Molecule: ribosomal RNA, 808 nt
Filed under: Pseudomma affine
Lineage: Eukaryota; Metazoa; Arthropoda; Malacostraca; Mysida; Mysidae
Description: SSU rRNA
Rfam family: Eukaryotic small subunit ribosomal RNA
Source: RNAcentral